GGAGGUGUCAGUUCAAUUGGUUCACCACUAUCCUGAGGGCCCCUGGGCUGGGACCUGGAGUAGAGGGUGGGCCCAAGUCCCUCUCUCUCCACUCCCCUCCUCAAGUGCACUAG
Chelonoidis abingdonii (Abingdon island giant tortoise) is the source of this 113-nucleotide non-coding RNA. Lineage: Eukaryota; Metazoa; Chordata; Testudines; Testudinidae. The record is from RefSeq and is a predicted model, not a curated record.